RNAcentral lists this ribosomal RNA (255 nucleotides) under uncultured Gardnerella sp. RNAcentral describes it as "partial 16S ribosomal RNA". It matches the Rfam family "Bacterial small subunit ribosomal RNA", at positions 99 to 355 of the family's 1533-position model. Lineage: Bacteria; Bacillati; Actinomycetota; Actinomycetes; Bifidobacteriales; Bifidobacteriaceae. The record is from RNAcentral.
CGAACGGGUGAGUAAUGCGUGACCAACCUGCCCCAUGCUCCAGAAUAGCUCUUGGAAACGGGUGGUAAUGCUGGAUGCUCCAACUUGCGCAUGUCUUGUUGGGAAAGUGUUUAGUGGCAUGGGAUGGGGUCGCGUCCUAUCAGCUUGUAGGCGGGGUAAUGGCCCACCUAGGCUUCGACGGGUAGCCGGCCUGAGAGGGCGGACGGCCACAUUGGGACUGAGAUACGGCCCAGACUCCUACGGGAGGCAGCAGCA